RNAcentral lists this ribosomal RNA (399 nucleotides) under uncultured bacterium. RNAcentral describes it as "bacterial SSU rRNA". It matches the Rfam family "Bacterial small subunit ribosomal RNA", at positions 29 to 453 of the family's 1533-position model. The record is from RNAcentral.
AGCGAACGCUGGCGGCAGGCUUAACACAUGCAAGUCGAGCGCCCGUAGCAAUACGGGAGCGGCAGACGGGAGAGUAACACGUGGGAACGCGCCCUUCGGUUCGGAAUAACUCAGGGAAACUUGAGCUAAUACCGGAUACGCCCUAACGGGGAAAGAUUUAUCGCCGAAGGAACGGCCCGCGUCGGAUUAGCUAGUUGGUGAGGUAAUGGCUCACCAAGGCGACGAUCCGUAGCUGGUCUGAGAGGAUGACCAGCCUCACUGGGACUGAGACACGGCCCAGACUCCUACGGGAGGCAGCAGUGGGGAAUAUUGGACAAUGGGCGCAAGCCUGAUCCAGCCAUGCCGCGUGGAUGAUGAAGGCCUUAGGGUUGUAAAGUCCUUUUAACGGGGAAGAUAAUG